Long non-coding RNA from Brachypodium distachyon (stiff brome), 674 nucleotides. RefSeq lists it as uncharacterized. The transcript is spliced from 2 exons. Lineage: Eukaryota; Viridiplantae; Streptophyta; Magnoliopsida; Poales; Poaceae. The record is from RefSeq and is a predicted model, not a curated record.
CCCCACCUCCUCUCUCCCUCUGCAGCCGCCCCUUCCUUCUCUCUGCCCCGAUCUCUCUUCUCUCACUCCUCCCCCGUCUCUCCUCCCCCAUCCUCCUCGUCUCUCCUCCCCAUCCUCCCCGUCUCUCCUCCCCCAACCAGCCACCAACGGCCUAUCCCUUCCCUCCCCGGAGCCCCUCCUCUCCUUCGAGCACCGGCCGCCAACGAAGGCCGCUGGCCCCAGAUCCGGCAGCCCCAGCCCCGGAUCCGGCGGAUCCGGCCGCCUCCGGCCCCUGCCAUCACCGCUAAGUAUCUCCCCCUCUCUCGGUUCUCUCUUGGUUCUCACCCUGCUCUUUCUUUCUCUCCCUUUCCUGCAGACGGGGAGGGCGCCGCUGUGGACAGCUCGCGACGCCAUGGAGGAUCCGGCCCCGGUCGUGCCCUGCGCUGCCUCUUCCGGUCUUACAUGGGGUCGUCGCCGGACCAGAUGAAUUUCUACGUGCUGGGCGGAUGUGUUGAUUUACAUGUUGAUAUUUGUUUCUGUGAUUUGUUUGUGUACAAGAUAAACAGAUCGUGAUUUACAUGUUGAUACUUGUUUCAUAUAUGUCGAUCUAUGUCUGGAUUUUUUUCUUAUGUGUCGAUCUAUUGUAUCCAAAUUUGUUUCUGUGAUUUGCUCCCAAUUCGAUCUAUUGUAUGUUA